CACUCAGUCCACAACCGUUUGCCACGAGACUUCGAUCUCUCCUCGAGACGCACGUCAGAAAACGAACACGUUUAAAAUACCCCUUUUCCCUCUUGUCAUUGGCGAACGAGCUUCCUUCUCGUGCUAGCAAAAACAGCUUUGAGUAGAGAGAAAAAAACGAAGGGAAUAAGGGAGAGAAAGAAAGAGAGAUAAAGGAGGCGGCGGUCAAGUUUGUUAAAAACGUACCGGACGUACGAAAUCGAGAAUAUUUGAAAAUAAUAAGAAACAAAAAAAUACAUGAUCACAGAUGUACUAACAAAUUUAUGUGUACACAUAAAAAAACAAUAAAACAAAAGUUCCAGGUGAAAACGAACGAGAGACUUUGAAAACACCGAUACUGGCGUGAACAGUUUUUUGAAUAACGAACGAGUAAACACACGAGCCGAACCAACGACGGGCUGCUCAACUCGUACAAGAGAACCCACCAAACGUAGAAGACAGUUCCGCAAGGAAGAGGAAAACCAAGGAAGGAGACCCAUCUUUUGCUGUUUGCUGCACAGUUGUUGUCACAGCGUAUCAAGGUAGUACCAAUGUUGUCACUUGUCCAGUCCUACACCGAAAUUUUUGCGACCUAAAGACAGACGGUGAACUUCAUCGGGUUGAGUAAUUAGUGCGAAGAGUAAGAACAUCGUUGCAGCUCUCAUAAACCAGCAGGAAAAUGGCGG
Venturia canescens is the source of this 704-nucleotide long non-coding RNA. RefSeq lists it as uncharacterized. The record is from RefSeq and is a predicted model, not a curated record. Lineage: Eukaryota; Metazoa; Arthropoda; Insecta; Hymenoptera; Ichneumonidae. The transcript is spliced from 3 exons.